UGGGGAAUCUUGGACAAUGGGCGCAAGCCUGAUCCAGCCAUGCCGCGUGGAUGAUGAAGGCCUUAGGGUUGUAAAGCUCUUUUACGAGGGGACGAUAAUGACGGUACCGUGAGAAUAAGCCCCGGCAAACUUCGUGCCAGCAGCCGCGGUAAUACGAAGGGGGCUAGCGUUGUUCGGAAUUACUGGGCGUAAAGCGCACGUAGGCGGAUUGUUAAGUCAGAGGUGAAAUCCCGGAGCUCAACUUCGGAAUUGCCUUUGAUACUGGCAAUCUAGAGUCCGGAAGAGGUUAGUGGAAUUCCCAGUGUAGAGGUGAAAUUCGUAGAUAUUGGGAAGAACACCAGUGGCGAAGGCGGCUCACUGGAUCGGUACUGACGCUGAGGUGCGAAAGCGUGGGGAGCAAACAGGAUUAGAUACCCAUGUAGUCCCUGAGCGGGCUGGCAAGGCGCAU
RNAcentral lists this ribosomal RNA (448 nucleotides) under uncultured bacterium. RNAcentral describes it as "bacterial SSU rRNA". It matches the Rfam family "Bacterial small subunit ribosomal RNA", at positions 355 to 825 of the family's 1533-position model. The record is from RNAcentral.